RNAcentral lists this ribosomal RNA (446 nucleotides) under uncultured bacterium. Its description in RNAcentral is "bacterial SSU rRNA". It matches the Rfam family "Bacterial small subunit ribosomal RNA", at positions 329 to 792 of the family's 1533-position model. The record is from RNAcentral.
UUCCAGACUCCUACGGGAGGCAGCAGUGGGUUAUAUUGGACAAUGUUUGAAACCCUGAUCCAGCGACGCCGCGUGAUUGAAGAAGUAUUUCGGUAUGUAAAUCUCUAUCAGCAGGGAAGAAAAUGACGGUACCUGAUUAAGAAGCCCCGGCUAACUACGUGCCAGCAGCCGCGGUAAUACGUAGGGGGCAAGCGUUAUCCGGAUUUACUGGGUGUAAAGGGAGCGCAGACGGCAGUGCAAGUCUGGAGUGAAAGCCCGGGGCCCAACCCCGGAACUGCUCUGGAAGCUGUGCGGCUAGAGUACUGGAGGGGCAGGCGGAAUUCCUAGUGUAGCGGUGAAAUGCGUAGAUAUUAGGAGGAACACCAGUGGCGAAGGCGGCCUGCUGGACAGUAACUGACGUUGAGGCUCGAAAGCGUGGGGAGCAAACAGGAUUAGAUACCCCUGUA